RNAcentral lists this long non-coding RNA (1188 nucleotides) under Pan troglodytes (chimpanzee). RNAcentral describes it as "long non-coding RNA NONPTRT005184". The record is from RNAcentral. Lineage: Eukaryota; Metazoa; Chordata; Mammalia; Primates; Hominidae.
AGCUGUAAUGAUGUCCCACAAAGUUUGGGUGAAUGACAUCUGGGUGUCUCAUGAAAAGCGGUCAAUUUGAUCAAACUUGCCACCUUGUGGAAAAACAAUCAGUGUGCUUCAGAUGAAUGUGACGCCAUCACACGCACCCUCCUCUGACAUCCAGAAUGCUGGCGGGGGACAUGGGGCUGGGUGCCUGCUCGGCCAGGACGAAGCUCUCCCUGUGUCACCUCCCGCCUUACGGCACCCAGUUUGUGGGAGGUUUGCUUUGCCUGCUGACCUGAUGCUAACGCUCAGCUUAAACACUCCGUUCCAGAUUUUACAAGGGGACUGGGUGAUAACGUGUCAAGUACAUGCUGCCCAUACUUCCCAUCAAGCCUCAGUACAGUCCCAGCUUAAAGAUCCUCUCUGGCACCACACUGAUCCCUUGGGCCUGGGGGUGGAUGCCAGGAAGCCUCUUGGCCACAAAUCUGCCCUCUUGUGGGUUAGAGGCCAGCCCUCUCUUGCCUGACGUGACUUGUCUGAAGGGCCUGCACUUAAACCAUCUUCAGGCAACCAGGGCAUCUGAGCAUAACCUGAGCAGUAACAACAUAAAUCAAGGGUCAGUAAUUUGGGGUGGAUGAGACCUAGCCAGCCAUCCAGUCAGAUGCUGCCGUGCAGGUAAGCAUGAUUCUGAAGGCGUGGGGUACCUUUUGUCCUGUAAAGUCAGAGAGAAGGCUAAGAAGUGCAUGGCCAGAACCCCAAGAAAGUGCAGCUUGGAGUUUUGGCUUCCUUCCCCACCGCUUGGGUUAAAAGUUCAGGUGGAAUGCACUUGCCAGGACCUGCUGGGCCUGAACUCUGAAGUGCUGCGCUCACAUUACUGUCAGUGUAUCCAGGACAAAGGGCCCGGAGCCAGACAGGUGCCCCCUACAGCCGAGGGUCCAAGGCAACCCUGUGACUCAGAGCUGGCUUCAGCAAGCCAGCAGAGCAGCUGGGAGGAAGCCUCAUGGCAUGGCUGUGGCAUCAAGUGGGUGUCUGUGAGCAGCUUGGCUCUCACCACUGUUUUGACCUCUGGGAUCCUUACUCUUGCUGGGGGUCAGAUGUCAAGAAAAUAGAAGGAUUAUUAAAGAAUAAUUAAAUAAUUAAAGAUCAACAACAUGAAUUUCCCAAGCCAGGCUGAUUUCCAGGUCACAGAAGUCAGAGACCCUGGAAGUGAUCAAC